This is a long non-coding RNA of Hypanus sabinus (Atlantic stingray), 1731 nucleotides long. RefSeq lists it as uncharacterized. Lineage: Eukaryota; Metazoa; Chordata; Chondrichthyes; Myliobatiformes; Dasyatidae. The transcript is spliced from 3 exons. The record is from RefSeq and is a predicted model, not a curated record.
UUUGCCUUCAACAUAGGGAGGUGACAAAAUCUAAAGACGCAAUUCAAAAAACAGAACAUGCUUGUGAGGAUUGAUGGAUUGGAUCACGCAAGUAUAGAAAUUUGACUGGUCAACUCCAAUCACAAAGAGGCCUGAGAUGUACACGUGAUGGCGUCAUAUCCUGUUGCUCAUAAAAUUGAGUCAGAUUAUAAGCAGCGCGUAUCAUUGGUCAUUCCAAGAACAGUCACCAACUCACUGUAGCAACACCAUUUAAAGGGUCUUCUUGGAGCAGGUCUUAGCCCUGCAGUGGCAACAUGUCCUGGCUGUUUGUAUCUUCUGCCUGCUGGGAGAGGGGAGAAGACCGAAGACCCAGGGUGGGUGGGGUCUUUGAUUAUGCUGGCUGCUUUACUGAGGCAGUGAGACAUAUAGACCGAGCCCAUGGACGGGUGGCUGGUUUCCGUGAUGUGCCCAUACCUCUCUGCAGCUUCUGGUGGUCACAGGCCGAGCAGUUGCCGUGCCAUGCUGUGAUGCAUCCGGAUAUGACACUUUCAAUGGUGCCUCAAUAAAAAUCCGGUGAUGGUCAAAGGAAACUGUGGUGAACUACAUAUACCUGUCUGGACAUGCCCCCCCGCUGACUGCUCCUGUGGCUCCUCCCACGGACCCCGGUAUAAAGGCGACUGGAGGCACAGCCCCGGCCUCAGUCUCCAGGAUGUAGUAUGGUGGUCACUUGCUGCUUGUUCUUUCUUCCAGCCUAUAUCUCGCCUCACGUCUCCGAGAGUUAUUGAUGAUGCAUCAGAAACGUGCCGAGUUUCUUUGCCUCCUGAGGAAGCAGAGGUGUUGAUGAUGGGCUGUUCAGGAGAACGGAAUAACCCAGCGGAGAAUCUGGGUGGCUGGCCAGAAUGCUGGUCCUCACACGGGAGAAGAGUGGGGUCACUCUUCAUCCCAGGUUAGGAAUUUGACAACUUACAAACACUCAGAAUCAGGUUUAUUACCUUAUCAUGGUGAUAUAAAUUUUGUUUUGCAGCUGCAGUCAAGUAGAAAAACAUAAAAUUACUAUAAAUUACAAAUUAAACGAAUAGAGCAAAAAAAGGAUGAAGAACAUUGUGUUAAUGGACCAUGGGCCAUUCUGAAAUCUGAUGGUAGACGGGCAGAACAGAUGUCUGAACUGAUGAGUGGCUCCUUCACCUCCUCCCAGACACCAGCUGCUGGACGGGGAUGUUUCCCCAUCUAGUCUCUGUAGUUAGUAGAGAUAAGGAGGCCCUACCCAUUUGAUGCAUGACAAUGUGGGUCUUAGAAAAAUAGAGGGCUAUGGGUAACCCUAGGAAAGGGUAUGUUCGGCACAGCUUUAUGGGCUGAAGAGCCUGUAUUGUGCUGUAGGUUUUCUAUGUUUCUAUGACACAGUUGCUCACCUCCAACAGCCAAUUUCCUAUCAACUGUCAAAGCUGGUGCUUAAGGCAUCAUUGGUCUGAUGCCUGACUCAUGGGCAGUCGAUGGCAGAAGGUUUGAGCCAUGCAUCUUAUCUGUGAUUUACCUCGGCAGUUUGAUUCUAUUAUGUGUGAAGUGCUGCAUGUUAUGGAUGGUGUAACAUUGCUACACCAAACAUCUACAGGCACCGGUGUUUUGUAUAUAAUCUUAUGGCACCGAAAAUCAUUCAGCGUGUCAGUCCAGUUCUGGGAGUUUAAAUUCAUUAUCCCUUUUAAAAGGUUAUUAAUGUGCUUGCACAGCAGACCUCUCAAGAGCACCGCACAUCGC